UACGAAGGACCCGAGCGUUAUCCGGAUUCAUUGGGUUUAAAGGGUGCGUAGGCGGAAUAGUAAGUCAGUGGUGAAAGCCUGUUGCUUAACAACAGAACUGCCAUUGAUACUGCUAAUCUUGAGUACAUUUGAUGUGGGCGGAAUGUGCCAUGUAGCGGUGAAAUGCUUAGAUAUGGCACAGAACACCGAUCGCGAAGGCAGUUCACAAAACUGUAACUGACGCUGAGGCACGAAAGCGUGGGGAUCAAACAGG
This 253-nucleotide ribosomal RNA is filed under the name uncultured bacterium. RNAcentral describes it as "partial 16S ribosomal RNA". It matches the Rfam family "Bacterial small subunit ribosomal RNA", at positions 524 to 776 of the family's 1533-position model. The record is from RNAcentral.